ACAUGGAUAUAUCUGAUCGGAACAAUGAGAAUGUAGUCUUGCCGUCUGAGGAAGGAGAGGGAAGUAAUGGAAAUGUGGUGUUUUCAAGAGAAGCUCCACUUGUACAUAAGGACUUCAGAUCAUCUGCCGUUGCAGGAGGUUGCAGUUGUGGAGUUAAUAAGAUUAAAUCAGGGAUAGCUAACUCUGACUCGGAACUCGGAAAAAGUGAGGAAUCAGGUCUUGAAAAGAAGCUUAGUAGACAAGAUAGGAUUGAGUUGGGGCGCUUGUUCCAGGGUGCUGUGAGUGACCAUGAUUGGGAGUUGGCAGAGAGUUUGAUCCUACUGGCUGAUCCCCAAACACUGAAUGAUGCUUUAUGCAUUGGUUUGGAUUCAAUCUGGUUCUUGAGUAAUCAAGAUGAGUUGUACGGGAUAACAGGUUUGAUUAAGAAGAUCAUCGCUAAUGGUGCAUUCGACUUCACUCGGGCUGCCCUAAGGACUUCAUUUCUUGCUUCUUGUGUUUCUGCUUGCCAGAGUCGAACAAUGGGCCUUGCAGAUACUGUCACUGUUAUGGCACGAAGGUUGCAUGAACGACUACGAGAAUGCAGUGGAGAUGAAGUCUUGAAGGCUGAAGCUGGUGCUAAGGUUCAGAAAUUCACUGAAUGGGCUCUUAAAUGUAUAGGUUUCCAUUCCCGCUGCCAAGGAAAGAGAGAUACGGUUGGGAAGAACUCUGCUGUUGAAAUACAAUUGCAGUUAUCAGCUUUCAAAACUUUCCUGGAUCUUGCUGGGAAUCACCUUACUGGGAAGGACUUUACAGAAGCAUUUGAUGCAGCUUGCUUUCCGCUUACACUAUUCCCUAGUUCAUUUGAUACUUGCUGGGCAUCAGGAAUUUCAGCUACUGCAAUCCAAGGAUUGCUCGGCAUGUUGGUGGAUGGGGGUGCAGACAAUGUCAAUCAGUGCUUUCUUGAAGCUUCACGUUUUGGGAGCACAGAGCUG
RNAcentral lists this unclassified non-coding RNA (971 nucleotides) under Hevea brasiliensis (rubber tree). Lineage: Eukaryota; Viridiplantae; Streptophyta; Magnoliopsida; Malpighiales; Euphorbiaceae. The record is from RNAcentral.